Molecule: ribosomal RNA, 253 nt
Filed under: uncultured bacterium
Lineage: Bacteria
Description: partial 16S ribosomal RNA
Rfam family: Bacterial small subunit ribosomal RNA
Source: RNAcentral
UACAGGGGGUGCAAACGUUGCUCGGAAUCAUUGGGCGUAAAGCGCACGUAGGCGGUCUGUUAUGUCGGAUGUGAAAGCCCUUGGCUCAACUGAGGAAGUGCAUCCGAAACUGGCAGGCUAGAGUACUAAAGAGGAUCGCGGAAUUCCCGGUGUAGAGGUGAAAUUCGUAGAUAUCGGGAAGAACACCCGUGGCGAAGGCGGCACUCUGGGACGGUACUGACGCUGAGACGCGAAAGCGUGGGGAGCGAACAGG